RNAcentral lists this long non-coding RNA (4357 nucleotides) under Homo sapiens (human). Its description in RNAcentral is "HSALNT0158988". The record is from RNAcentral. Lineage: Eukaryota; Metazoa; Chordata; Mammalia; Primates; Hominidae.
CUCGCUCUGUCGUCCAGGGUGGAGUGCAGUGGCGCAAUCUUGGCUCACUGCAACCUCCGCCUCCCGGGCUCAAGCCAUUCUCCUGCCUCAGUCUCCCGAGGAGCUGGGACUACAGGUGCACACCACCAAGCCUGGCUGAUUUUUGCAUUUUUAGUAGGGACAGUAUUUCACCAUGUUGGUCAGACUGGUCUUGAACUCCUGGCCUCAAGCGAUCUGCCCGCCUCGGCCUCCCUAAGUUUUCGGAUCACAGGCGUGAGCCACCACGCCCAGCCGGAUUGCAAUUUUAAAUAGCAUAAUCAGAGAGGCUUAAUGGAAGAGGUAAUAUUUGAGGAAAGACCUGAAGAAGGUAAGGGAGUAGGCACUGAAGAUAUUGGGGGAACAGUGCUCCCCGAGACAUCUGGGCAGCCAGGCACAGGGACCACAAGCAGAAAAGGGUCCUGUGAGGGUUUCGUGUUUUCUUUACAAUUUGUCAAUGUGAACACCAUGCUCACACCAAAGAACAGCAAGUUUCCUACCUGGCUUCUCUGCCUUCCUCCUUCCUUCCCUCCCUUCCUCCCUCCUUCCUUCCUUUCUUCCUUUCUUCCUUCCGUUCUCCCUUUCUUCCCAAUAUGCCCCACUUCAAUGGAUGAGUUUUCCAGCUCCCUCGGCUGCUUUCUGCAUUGCACAUGACAAGUAUCCACUAAAUAUUCAUUCAUUAGAAACAGCCAGACGAUGCUGAGCCUCUGUAGCUCUCUAGCAUCUACCAUAGCACAGAUCUCAGGAAGACCCACAAGAUACAUUUGUCAACAAGUCGAUGGCCUCCUAUGUGGCCCUGUGCUGUGUGCUGAGGCUACAGGAAGGAACAAAGCCUCCUAUCUGGGGGCCCACUUCUGCAGUUAAGUUCAUCUGGUGUCCUUUGUAAUACUGCAAAGAGAACUUCUUACGCUGUAGCUGAAUGAGAGAAAUAUCCCAUUCCAAACCUCUGAUGGAAACUGGCCAAGUCAGCGUGUGAGAGGAAGAAGGAAGUGUGUGGCACCUCCUGCCUCGCUCUCUUCCUCCUGUUCCGGCCAUGUGAAGUGCUGGCUCCUCAUUUUCCUUCCACCAUGAUUGGAAGCUUCCUGAGGCCUCACCAGAAGCAGAUGCUGCCAUGCUUCCUGUACAGCCUGCAGAACCGUGAGCCAAUUAAACCUCUCUUCUUAUAAACUACCCAGUCUCAGGUACUUCUUUAUAGCAGUGUGAGAACAGACUAAUACAAUGACUACUGAUCAUAGUGGAUUGGCCACUGGAGAGAAAGCUGAUGGAGCAGAGAGCACUUGGGAAGAAACCAUUAAACACUGAAAGAGGAAGAGGUGGUGGAGAUACAUUGGAGAGAACAAAUACAAUAGACUUAUCUGAGGUCAAAUCAACAGAACCCAGCAACGGAUCAGACAGAGAGAGAAAGCAGAAAGAGUGAAAUAAAACUCCACGGUUCUAGCCUGAGUGAUUAAGGGCAGAGCAAUGUUCUGGACCUUGCUGGGAGAUUCAGGAAGAAGAGGGAAAUCUGGGUUUAUUUCAAGGAGGGGUGGGAAGGAGAGAUGAGAUGAAGGAGGACCAGGAAAAUAAAAUAUUUCAAGUUAGCUAUGCUGCAUUGGAAGUGCUUACCGCAUAUCCAGCUGGACCAAAAAAAAUUUUUUUAAUUAGCUGGGCAUGGUGGUGCAUUCCUGUAAUCCCACCUACACAGAGGACUGACGUGAGAGGAUGGCUCACGCCCAAAGGUUGAGGCUGCAGUGAGCUACGAUUGUGCCACUGCACUCCAGCCUGGGUGACAGAGUGAGACCCUGUCUCAAAAUAAAAUAAAAUAAAAUAUUUUCUAUCUGGCUCCUUUCAGAAAAAGUUUGCCUACCCUUGCACCGGAAGCAGGAGGGAAAGAGAUGGGCUUGUUGGAAACCAGGAAAGGAGAAAUUGACAGAGCUGCAGGGAGCAAUCCCUUUCCACCUUCACCCAGGACUGAGAUCAUGUCAUACAAAAGCCCUGUGUUGUUCAGAGGACCAGAGGGGUUCAAGCGAUUCUCCUGCCUCAGCCUCCUGAGUAGCUGGGAUCACAGACGCCUGCCAUCAUGCCUGGCUAAUUUUUGUAUUUUUAGUAGAGAUGGGGUUUCGCCAUGUUGGUCAGGCUGGUCUCGAACUCCUGACCUCAAGUGAUCCACCUGCCUCGGCCUCCCAAAGUGCUGGAAUUACAGGCAUGAACCACUGCACCUGGCCUCUAUUACCUUUAAAAGUGCUCCUUGAAGAGAAAAUCCACUCUGCCGUUUCAAGCUUGACUUCCCUCCCCAGUCUUAGAGACUGAUCACUGGGGCAGAGUGACAUUUUCCCACAAUGCUGGCUCAUUAUUUUCCUCCUGGAAUUGCAAAUCCAAGGGACAAGUGGUACAGCCUGCACCCAUCCAGAAGGGGAGGGAAUCCCACCAGAGGUGCCCUGAAACAAAGAAAACAAGUAACUUCAAAACCACAUCCUAAAAUCUGGACCUGUGACAGGACAGAUGGAACUCUGGAUUGUUUGAUUCUAUCAGCAGAACAGAGGAAGGAAAUGUUUUAAAACGAGAUUAUGUUAUUUUCCCCAGUUAUUAUGAAGCCUUCCUGAAAUGAACUUUAAAUAUCGGCCACCACUUUCAUGAGGCUGAAUGGGAUUCAGCAAUUAGGAGCGUUGCAGGGAAGUGUGGCAGGGCAGAGGUGGGACAAAUUGCAGAUCCCUGUGGGGUCCCUUGGUUAGGUGACAAUUAGUCUAUAAAACACAGCUGUGUGUGUUAGGGAGGGAGUGGUGUCUUUAAAAAGCUCUGUGCCCAAUAGGAACAUUAAUUAAAGGGUCUUUUUUCAAAGGACAUUAAUAAUAAUGAAUAAAAAGCCUUCUGCGACUUUUGCCCUCAAUGAGAAAAUGACUGACAACUACGUAUCGUAUAGAGAAGAAAAAAUAUCCUAGAAGUUAUGAAAAUUUCCCCAAAAUGAAAUCAUACAAUAAUCCUUUAUAAUGCUGGGCUUCCUAGACAGAAUUUUCCAAAGGAAGCUGUCUAUAUCAUCCAGCCCCAAGCCCUGCUGAAUAAUACACGAUAGCUGUGUCAUUAGUGUCCUCUAGCCAAAUAACUGUCCAGGCAGGAUGACAUGGAUGUGGUCGCUUGUCCCCUCUGCGUGGAUGUCCUCCCACACAUGCCUCUCAAUGCCAGGGUUCCUCAAGACCCUCUGAGAGUCAGCUCCUGUAUCCAACUGCUUACCUGAUAUUGCCUCCAAGAAGCCUUAAAACACCUGAAAUGUAAAGGUCUUCCCCAGGAUCCUCCCGGUCUUCACAUCCCUAUAAAUGGCGUCAACACCCAUCCACUCAUGAAGCCAGAACUUAGGAUUCAUCCCCAAUUCUUCCCUCUCCCCCGACAUCCAAUUCAUCAGCAGAUUCCGGGGCUUCGCUCUCCCAGUGAUCUCUCCCAUCUGAGGCUUUCCCUCCAGUGGUUUAUUGCUUCUAUCGUGGUCUAGGUAAGCAUCAUCUAGACUUGCCCUGGACUAGUGCAAAAGUCUCCUGAGUCUUCUCUCUUCAUCUAUUCUCGGGGGCCACAGCCAGACCAUUCUCUACAGAGUUAAAAAGAGCGACUUCUGAAGGAGUGAACAGACCCGCAUCAUUGCCCUGCUUAAGAUCCUUCAGCGACUUCCCAUAGCAUUUAGAACACAAUGCAAACUUUUCUGUAGCCUUGCAACCCCUGCUUGAAUUGGUCUGGCUAUUUCUCUAGCUUCUUCUCAACCCCUCUUUCCUCACCUGGUAUUCCAGCAGCUUCAGGGUUUCACAGUCUUCAGACACUCUUGUGCCUUCCCACUUCUAAGCCUCUUGUGUUUUCGGUUCCCUGUGCCAGGAAAGUUCACCCACUGCUCCCCAACUUCAGAGACCACCAUUUUGGAUACAUAGCAUUGGCCUGACAUUCUUUUUCUUUUAACUGUCAGACAUUAGGGCUGACCUAACUGUCACUACUGGAGUUCAAUAUGGCCCCCAAAAGAGCACCCUGCCGCUGUAAGUUCUGAGCCCAUUGAGAAAUGAGACAAAGAAUCUAGGCAGAUGGAGACCAAAUGCAUCAGCUCUAUUUCUUAUAAAAUUGAUAUUGGAGAAUGUGGCAUAUAAUACCUGCAAACAAGUGGUUUCCUAAUACCAACCCCAGAUUGGAUUUACCCACCCAGUCGGAGGCCAUGCAGGGUCUGGGCAGACCCCCGAUGUAGGGGGGUCUCAGGGCCUUAGUGCAGCCCUCCUGGCACCCCCAGCUUCCUUGUAUGAUUGUGCAUGUUUGUCCCAUCAGUCCGUGAACUUCCCAAAGCAGACACCAGGCAGAAUAAAGAAUACCGGGGAAGGCUGGGCAUGGUGGCUCAUGCCUA